Molecule: ribosomal RNA, 482 nt
Filed under: uncultured bacterium
Lineage: Bacteria
Description: bacterial SSU rRNA
Rfam family: Bacterial small subunit ribosomal RNA
Source: RNAcentral
CAAGUCGAACGCGAAAGGGACUUCGGUCCUGAGUAAAGUGGCGCACGGGUGAGUAACGCGUAGAUAACCUGUCUUUAUGUCUGGAAUAAUACGCCGAAAGGGGUACUAAUACCGGAUAUUUUUGCAUUGCAUAAGCAGUGUAAGCAAAGGUGGCCUCUGACAUAAGCUACUGCAUAAAGAGGGGUCUGCGUACCAUUAGCUAGUAGGUGGGGUAAAGGCCUACCUAGGCUACGAUGGUUAGCGGGUCUGAGAGGAUGAUCCGCCACACUGGCACUGGAACACGGGCCAGACUCCUACGGGAGGCAGCAGUGAGGAAUAUUGCGCAAUGGGGGCAACCCUGACGCAGCGACGCCGCGUGAAGUGAGGAAGGCCUUCGGGUCGUAAAGCUCUGUCAAAGGGAAAGAAGUGCAUGGUGGUUAAUACCUGCCAUGUUUGACGGUACCCUUAAAGGAAGCACCGGCUAACUCCGUGCCAGCCGCCGC